Long non-coding RNA from Bactrocera tryoni, 886 nucleotides. RefSeq lists it as uncharacterized. The transcript is spliced from 3 exons. NCBI's taxonomy places the organism in Eukaryota, Metazoa, Arthropoda, Insecta, Diptera, Tephritidae. The record is from RefSeq and is a predicted model, not a curated record.
CAUAUUAGAAGUAAAGUCAACUAUUUAAAUACAAAAAAUGACUACAGAUAAUACAACACAUUGACAAAAUUAUAUAUCUAGAUGUCUUUAGUUUCCUUAAGAAGUACCACAAGUCUGUCUUUUUUUAUUGAAGAUAUUUAUCGAAAGCUCUCAGUACUUAGAUUAAUAUUUCGUACAGGGUUAUUGCACUACAUAUAGGACGUCAGGUGGAAUAGAAAUUGCGCCCUUUUUUAUGAUAAAAAGGAAGAAAUUGACAAACGAGAAGAUAAUUAAUUUCAAUUUGUCAUGCAAAUUUGUAAGAAAAAGUGUUCUUUGUGUAAAAAUUGAAAAAGUGAAGAUUUAUUGCAGUUUUUAUUUAAAAUGUGUGUGUUAAGUGAAUUUGUGAACGACUGGAGGAGUGUUUUAAAGACUUAUUGUAAAAAUAUAUCAAGUUCAAAGUGGCGAGAAAUUGAAAAGAGGAAAGCUGUCCAUGCAAGCAACAUAGCAUAUUAAGGAGUAUUGCAAUAUACACCGUAUUCCUGAGUGGUUUCCCACUGGGUGAGUGCGAAAGCUAAUGACUAUUGUAUUUUUGCUAUAACUUAAUUACCGAUAAUGAUUAUUCCACCAUAAGUACUGAUGCAAGCGAAUUUAAUAUUCAAGACAUGGAAGUUUGGGGCUUAAAAAUCGCAGGAAAUACAAAGUGUUCCGUAAUUGGGUAUGCUGUUAAAACAACAAUAAAAUAAAUUAGAUAUUAUAUCUCCAACGGAAAGAGAUCAUAAACUUUUUGAGCAAACUACGAGCGACUUUUUGAUUUAAAGAGAAACAUUUUGCAGAUAGCAAUACGAGGAUACAAGGUCCAAAGUCAGUGCUAACCCUCCGAACAGAAUCGCUUUCAGGAACUUAAAUG